Long non-coding RNA from Lycium ferocissimum, 1649 nucleotides. RefSeq lists it as uncharacterized. Lineage: Eukaryota; Viridiplantae; Streptophyta; Magnoliopsida; Solanales; Solanaceae. The record is from RefSeq and is a predicted model, not a curated record. The transcript is spliced from 3 exons.
AUUUUCUUCUUCACUUUUUCACAAUUAGGAUCCAUAUAUUUUGCUGAGCGGCUUCUCUCAUGGUGUUUUACGGCGAGACUUUCUCCUCAGCUUUGUUUAUUGAGGUUCUUAUUAUGCUCUAUAUGAGUUGAAAAAAGAUAGUGUUAGUUGGAGUUCAAGGGAAACAAAUGGUAGAAGACUACAAUAAAGCUGCUCGAGCUAUGAGCGGCUCAUAUAGGGAGGUUUAAUGACUUUUGACGAGCAACAAAUAUUGAUAGGUUGCAAGUGGAUACACAUUUUCUCCUCUUCUUAAGGUUAUUCUCCCCAACUCCAUUCAUGUAGACUGAUUUCAAAGGGUUUUCCUUUUAAGUAAUUAUGUUGUGCUACAUAUUUCCUUGUUGCUUUGUAGUUGAAGCAAGAUUUACAGGUGGAAAAGAAAUGUCUCUUUCUUGGAUCUGUUUCAAAUUAAGCAUCAUCGUCUUUCUUGAGUUGCAUCACAUAUACAACAUUGUGAAUAUAAGACAACUAAAAACUAAAAGAUGAGUGCGUCGAGUUAACUUUCAUCUUUUAUGAGGAGAGCUUAAAUAGCAUUUUGGCAGCUGUCCAGUUAGUUAAAACAAGUUUUUUAACUGAAGUCAAGAAACUUGUGCUUCUCAGUCCUACGGAUUAUAGUCAACUAUUAAAAGAUUGAUUGAGGAUGAAUAAAAAUGCUCUUGCUUCAUUGCCAAUUCCUGAAAUUCCUUUCUGGAUAUUCCUCAAUGUCCCGGAUAUUCACGGAACGUGAGAAGCAGAUGAUUAAUCAUCCCUUCAUUUUUUUUUCUCUGAUAGAUGGUCAGAACUUCAUUUAACAGGGGAAUUGACAGUGUGUUUGAGCAAGUUGUUGGCACCAAAUGCUCUAUCGAGGCUAUCACAAACAAUGAAGAGCUCUUUUAUCAUUUUGGAGUUGUUGACUUAAGGUAAGUUGUUCAAUAGCUGAUGAAAGUGAACAAUCAAUUGCCGAUAGUUAGGCAGCAAUAGGAAGAGCAGGCAAUUACUGUGUUCACGCCUUUAAAGAAGAAAGUGUAUUUUCUAAAGGUGCAUUUUGUACAGAGAAAACUGUUUCCAUGAAAGUAUUUUUAGCGAAAAAUGUUUUAAAUCAGGUGGUCAUUUUCUAGAUCAACUCCAAUGUUUGGUGGAUAUAAAAAAUUGAUAGACAUGGUAAUUGUGGUAUGUGCAAGGUAUGAGAAUAGUGUCAUGAUGGAUAUUGAUUAUCAGGUUCCUUCUCCAUUCUCUGUGGUUUAUUAUUGUUUUGUUUUUUCUCCCUAAUUUGUGUCUUUUAAUGGCAGGAAGUGGAUUUUCUUAAGGAUGCUACGGGAAAAUAAAACCUUUUUAGUUUUUCAAGAAAAUGCUUAAGUCUCACUUUCAAAGUUAGUGAUUUCUACCGUAAAAGUAAUGUGUUACCUUGCAGGUCCCUAACAUUUUAUGUGCUGAAUGUUUAUUUUUUUAAGUAUAAAAAAGAACAAAUACAAGUCUUUAGGAAUAUGUACAUUUGGAGUUGUUGAUUUGCAAAACUAUUUAGUAAAAACUUUGAAUUGGUUGGUUUGCUGGAACAGUUAGAGGCAUGUUUUAUAACCUCACAAUGAAUAUUUACAACUAUUCAGUUACUGAUGUUAAGUUCCAGUUGCAACAUU